RNAcentral lists this long non-coding RNA (3297 nucleotides) under Arachis ipaensis. RNAcentral's name for it is "long non-coding RNA (AIPA_LNC001227)". Lineage: Eukaryota; Viridiplantae; Streptophyta; Magnoliopsida; Fabales; Fabaceae. The record is from RNAcentral.
AACAGAAAACUCUAAAAACAUUAGAAAACCCUAAAAAUUUUAGAAAACCCUAAAAAACUCUAAAAUCCUUAAAAAAAUCAUAGAAAACUCUAAAAAAUUCUAAAGAAGCUUAAAAAAUUCGAAAAAAGCGUAAAAAUCUUAGAAAAUCCUAAAAAUCCAGAAAACCCUACAAACCAUAGAAAACAACCUUAAGAAACCCUAAAAAAACCCUUGAAAACCUUAAAAAUCUUAAAAACCCUAGAAAUUCUAGAAAAUCCUAAAAAAUUCUAUGAAAUCAUAGAAAAUCAUAGUAAAUCCUAAAAAAUUCUAAAACACUAAAAAAGAUCUAGAAAACCCUAAAAACCCUUAAAAAAUCCUAGAAAAUCAUAAAAAAUCCUAAAAAAUCUUAGAAAAUCCUAAAAAUUCUUAAAAUUCCUAAAAAAAACCCUAAAAACACUAAAAAAUCCUAAAACAUUAAAAAAGACAUAGAAAACCCUAAAAACCCUUAAAAAACCCUAGAAAAUCAUAAAAACCCUAAAAAAACCCUAAAAAUCCUAAAAACACUAAAAAUCUAAAAAAACGCUAGAAAACCAUAAAAACCCUAAAAAAACCCUCAAAAAUCCUAAAAAACCAAGAAAACCCUAGAAACCAUAAAAACCCUAAAGAACCCUAAGAAACUCGAAAAACCCUAAAAAUUCCUAGAAAACUCUUAAAAAACCAUAAAAACCCUAAAAAACCUUAGAAAAUCCUAAAAAUCCUAAAAAACCCUAAAAACCCUAGAAAACUAUAAAAAAUCUAGAAAACACUAAAAAACCCUAAAAAACCUAAAAGCAAACCCCUAAAAAGAUAAAAAAAUCCUAAAAAACCCUAAAAACCCUAAAAAAUCAUAAAAAUCCUAGAAAACCCUAAAAAACCAAGUCCUUAGAAAACUCUAAAAAAAUCCUAGAAAACCCUAAAAACUCGAAAAAAGCCUAAAAACCUUAGAAAAACACAAAAAUUCUAGAAAAUCCUAAAAAGUCCUAAAAAACCCUAAAAACCAAAGAAAGCUAUAAAAAAAAUCCUAAAAAACCCGAAAAACCCUAAAAAAUCCUUAAAACCCUAGAAAACGCUAAAAACCCAAUAAAACCCUAAAAAAACCAAGAAAAAUCUAAAAAAAAUCGUAAAAACCCCUAAAAAACCAUAAAAACCUUAAAAACCCUCAAAAACCCUAAAAACCCAAGAAAACCCUAAAAAUCCUAAAAAACCAAGAAAAUCCUAAAAACCCUAAAAAAAACUCUAAGAAACCCGAAAACCCCUAAAAAACCUUAGAAAACUCUGAAAAACCAUAAAACCCUAAAAAAUCUUAGAAAACCCUAAAACCCUAGAAAAUCCUAAAAAACCCUAGAAAACACUAAAAAUCCAAAAAAGACUAGAAAACCCUAAAAACCUUGAAAAAUCAUAAAAACCUAGAAAACUCUAAAAACCCUAGAAAACCCUAAAAAAUCCUAAAAUCCCUAGAAAAUUCUAAGAAACCCUAGAAAACCCUAAAAAAUCCGAAAAAAAGCCUAAAAACCUUAGAAAAUUUUAAAAAUCUUAGAAAACUCUAGAAAACCCAAAAAACCCUAAAAAUCCUAGAAAGUUCUAGAAAACCCUAAAAACCCAAGAAAACCCUAAAAACCCUAGAAAUUCCAAAAAACCCUAAGAAACUCGAAGAACUCUAAAAAAACCUAGAAAACUCUAAAAAAAUCCUAAAAUACCCUAAAAACCCUAAAAAAACCCUAAAAACCCUAAAAAAACUCUAAAAUUCCUAGAAAACCCUAAAAACCCUAGAAAAGCCUAAAAACCCUAGAAAACCGUAAAAAAUCCUAAAAUCCCUAAAAAAACCCUAGAAAACUCUAAAAAAUCAUAGAAAAUCCUAAAAAACCCGAAAAAAGCGUAAAAGACUUAGAAAACCCUAAAAAACCUAGAAACCCCUGAAAACCCUAAAAACCCUAAGAAACCCUAAAAACCUUGAAAAUCCUAAAAGUCCUAAAAACCCUAGAAAAUCCUAGAAAACCCUAAAAACCCUAAGAAAUCCUAAAGAACCCUUGAAAACCCUAAAAAGCCUUAAAAUCCCUAGAAAACCCUUAAAAUCCAAGAAAAUCCUAGAAAACCCUAAAAACCCAAGAAAACUCUAAAAAUCCUAAAAAAACCCCGAAAACCGCUAAAAAACCCUAGAAAACUAUAAAAAAAACCCUAAAAACCCUGAUAGACCCUAAAAAACCCUAAAAGCCCUAAAAAACCUUAAGAAACCUUAAAAAACCCUAUAAAAUCCUAAAAACCCUAGAAAACCCUAAAAAAUUCUAGGAAACCCUGAAAAACCCUAAAAACCCUAAAAAACUCUAAAAAGACAAGAAAAUCCUAAAAACCCUAAAAACCCUAGAAAACUCUAAAAACCCUAGAAAAUCCUAAAAACCCCUAAAAUCUCUAGAAAACCCUAAAACCCUAGAAAACCCUAAAAAAUCCUAAAAAUCCAAAAAAAAUCCUAAAAAUCCUAGAAAACCUUAAAAAGCCCUAAAAUCCCCUAGAAAACCCUAAAAAACCCUAAAAACCAAGAAAAUCCUAAAAACCCUAAAAAACCUUUAAAACCCCUAAAAAUCCUAAAAAAUCCUAAAAAACUUUAAAAAACCAUAUAAAACCCUAAAAACUUUAGAAAACCCUAAAAACCCUAGGAAACUCUAAAAAAUCCUGAAAAUCUAAAAAACCCUAAAAAAACCCUAAAAGGACAAAAAAACCCUAAAAACCCUAGAAAACCCUAAAAACUCUAGAAAACUCUAAAAAACCCUAAAAUCCCUAGAAAACCCUAAAAAAUCCUAAAAAACCUAGAAAACCCUAAAAAACUCUAAAAACCCUAGAAAAUCCUAGAAAAUCUAAGAAAACACUAAAAACCCUAGAAACUCUAGAAAACUUUAAAAAACUCUAGAAAGUUCUAGAAAACUCUAGAAAAUCCUAAAAAAACCUAAAAAUCCAAGAAAACUCUAAAAUCCCUAAAAAAUCUGAAAAACCCUAAAAAAUCUUAGAAAACUCUAAAAUCCCUAAAAAACCCAAAAAUAGUUAGUUGUUGGGUGGUGUUACCCAUAGAUAUAUUCUUAUGAAUAUAUAAUAAGUCGAUAUUGAAAAAGAAAAAUUACACCCGAAUGUUUUUUCCAUUUUUAUUGGUCUCAUCAGUUGUUUACGCUUCUAUAAUCAAAGAAGUACCUUUUAUUUUUCCAAAAUUAAGUACUUAUUUUUAGUUGUUUAUUAUUUGUAUUUAAAUAAAGAAAUAGACAUAAGAAAGAUUUUUUUUUGCGCGUGUUUUUU